Molecule: microRNA precursor, 174 nt
Filed under: Oryza brachyantha (malo sina)
Lineage: Eukaryota; Viridiplantae; Streptophyta; Magnoliopsida; Poales; Poaceae
Description: MIR812 microRNA precursor family
Rfam family: MIR812 microRNA precursor family
Source: Rfam by way of RNAcentral
AAUAAGAUUAUUUUUCAGUUUUUUGAUACAAUAUUUUGAUUCUUUAUCUUAUUUAAAAAAUUUUACUUUUACUAGAUGAUAAAAUAUAUAUAGUACUUUAUGCGUGACUAAUUUUUUAAAGUUUUUUACAAAUUUUUCAAAUAAGACGAAUGAUCAAACGUUGGACAUAGAAAA